Molecule: small RNA, 4421 nt
Filed under: Pongo abelii (Sumatran orangutan)
Lineage: Eukaryota; Metazoa; Chordata; Mammalia; Primates; Hominidae
Description: retained intron
Source: RNAcentral
UCACUGCCAACACAGGGCCUACCUGGGAUUUGACCAGAGUCCGCCUGGCUCCAGUCUCUGCCACCCACAGGAAGAAGAAACUACACUGCUACACUGACAGAUGUGAGGCAGUGUUUCCCCUUCAGUCUUUGAACAGGCUUUGUGUUUUCUAAAUGACACUUGAAAAAAGGGAAUUCAUUCAAGAGCUCCAAGGCUUCCCUUUCCGCCCGGCUUCUGUUGCCCUGGCCUGAGCAGCGAGCAGCUGGGAGGGGACUGAACUGCCCCUAACCAGGGUUGUGGCUGGUGGGGUUGGGACUAGGGCUGGGCAGGUGGCUGGGAUUGGGCCCAUCUCCCAAGUGUGGUGGGUUUCAGGGGUCCAUAGGGAAAGGGUCACCUGCAGAUCCUUGUACAAAGCCCAGCACAAGGCCCAGAAUGGGCCUGGAGCUGAGGGUGGGCCCCUGGCCUGCGUGGAUGAGGAAGGCCUCGGAGGCUGGGGAGAGCUUUCCAGUUGGGUGCAGGAUGGGUGGGCUGGUUCAGGAAGAGCAGCCACCUGUGCCCAUUGGUCCCUUAUUCCCCAGGUGUGGUGCAUCCAGGACUUACACAGGCAGCCCGUGGACCCCAAGCGUCACGGACAGCUGUGUGCAGGCAACUGCUACCUUGUGCUCUACACAUACCAGAGGCUGGCCCGUGUCCAGUACAUCCUGUACCUAUGGCAGGUGCGCCAGCCUGAGGGAGGCUGCACUUACCUUAAAGCCCAAGGGCUGGGCUCUGGGAGUGAAAUGUGAGAGCUGGGCCAGGCCCUCACUCACUGCCCCUACCUGCAGGGCCACCAGGCCACUGCAGAUGAGAUUGAGGCCCUGAACAGCAACGCUGAGGAGCUAGAUGUCAUGUAUGGUGGCGCCCUAGUACAGGAGCAUGUGACCAUGGGCAGCGAGCCCCCCCACUUCCUCGCCAUCUUCCAGGGCCAGCUGGUGAUCUUCCAGGUAGGUCUCACCUUGCCACUCUGGCCACAGCCUGCCCAGUUCUGUAUGGGCCAUGGCCCCCCCACACACUUCUAAGCACCUUCUCUUUGGGCCUGGGGCCUGCUUAUCAUCCCCUAAUUUCCCAGAGCUUGUCCAAGGCCCAGGAGCUCCAAGGUUGGCCCCUGCCUGAGUUUCCCUCCCCAGCCCCAAAGCCAGAUGAGGAAUUUAAGUUGAAAGGGAGCCAGGGGCUGCACACUAGCAAACCUGGUCCCCACUUUCCACCUCCAAGGCCUGAGCACCCAUGCCCCGACCACUCAGAGAUGGGGGGAAAGGUCCAUUUAGAAAGGGUCUGUCCCUGUCCCAGACUGAUGGGAUUCCUGCACUCCACACUUAGAGGGUCCUGUACUCCUCAUGUGAAAUCACCAGUGAGGGCCUUGGUGGCUUCAAGCAAGGGUCCCUGAGCUCUGAGGCAAUAUGUCCCACACUGGGACAGGAAGGCGCCCCUGGGAGCCCUUGCCCAGCCUGAGGCCUUGCUCUCCUAUAGGAGAGAGCUGGGCACCAUGGAAAGGGGCAGUCAGCAUCCACCACAAGGCUUUUCCAAGUGCAAGGCACCGACAGCCACAACACCAGGACCGUGGAGGUGCCAGCCCGUGCCUCAUCCUUCAACUCCAGUGACAUCUUCUUGCUGGUCACAGCCAGCGUCUGCUACCUCUGGUUUGGGAAGGUACCCACAGCACUGACCACUUGACUCAUGCCCAGAUGUAGUGGUGCCAGGCUGGGGGUGGGUCCUCUCCACAGGGGAUGCAGACUUUGAGUCCAGCCUCAGAUAGGCCGAUGGGGGGAAUGGGGAGGGGAAGAAGCCACAGUGUCCCCUCUAGAACUUGGGGAAAGUUACAAAGUGACAGUUGGACCUGAGAGUCCACAGGUCAGAGCCAGGCCCAGGCCGCCUCCCCUCCUUACUGCCUGGAGCACAGGGCAUGUCCCUUCCCAGGUCUCUUGGGAAAAGGGGAGGCCUAUGCCAGUUUGCUGGAGUUUUCUCUAAUUUUCAGCAUAAACUAUGACUGACCCUCUAAGCCUGGGGGCCUCCUAUCCCAUGCUCUGGACCCUGUGAGGGUCCCAGACCCUGUGAUCCAGAUCAGCUGGGGACACAGGCCUGGAGGGUGAGGAAGAUGCCUUGUUCACCGGUGUCCUGCUGUCAGCUUAGGCCUCCUGUGACUUGGGCCCAGCCCCACCUCAUACACCCUGUGAAUGGGAUGUGGGCCGGAGGUGAAGGCCCCUCCUUGUGCAGGGCCUGAGCCAUCUCUUUGCCUGCUAGGGCUGUAAUGGUGAUCAGCGUGAGAUGGCACGGGUGGUGGUCACUGUCAUUUCCAGGAAGAACGAGGAAACGGUGCUGGAGGGUCAGGAGCCUCCCCACUUCUGGGAGGCCCUGGGAGGCCGGGCCCCCUACCCCAGCAACAAGAGGUAACAGGGUUGGGAGGAGAGUGUUCUUACCCAGAGGAGGAAUUGAGGCCCAGAGAGGAGGGUGGGUGACUGGGAUUCACACAGAGAGCUGGCGAGACAAGACUAGAACCAAGGACUCUCAGCUUCCCACUCACAGAGGCUCCCACGAGUACAGCCCGCGCUUCACUCCCAGGCCUGGGUAACUUGGGUCUCGAAGAUGCUGGGGAGGGUAGGGGCAGUGGCGACCUCUGCUGGCAGCAUCCCCUCCCUGCCAGCAGGGACAAAGCACCCUUCCCCACCCUACAGUCCUCAGGGAUCACGGUGCCCAGUGUGUGUGUAUACAGUGUCAUAUGAUGUGUGGGUAUACAGUGCGUGUGGAUGUGCAAGAACAGGUGUAUUCGGGGUGUUGUGUGUGUGGUGUGUAAGUGGACAGGGUGUGUGUAGGAGGUAGGAGUGAGGCCUCAAGGGGAGGAGGGAGCUGAGUCCUGGUCGCUCUUGGUCUGCCUGUGGGGCUUGGCUUAUGUGCUGCACUCCCCACAAUUCUCCUGAGCUCAGUACUCUCGUCCCCUUCUCCCAGCCUGGCUUCCCUCCUUCCACUUUGAGCCGGAGACCUACUCUCUGCCAGGGGUGGGCUGAGGAGCUCCUCCUAUCCCAGGGAGGGCGAGACUCCAGCUCAGGCCCUCCCCUUCCCCUGCAGCCCUCUCCUAGGGAAAUUCAUGGGGCACUUUGCAUCACAGCUGGGUGGGGCGAGAGCUUUCUCCAUGAGCAGAGAGGGAUCCUGCACCCAGAGCAGAGCAGAGUGCUCAGGGAGUGAACCACGGGGCUCAGAGGAGGGCCCAGGGCUCCCACUCCUGAGAAGUGGCUUCCCAACCCCCUGGGGUGGGGCACUUGUGCCAUGGGCUGGGGUGCCCCUCUGGGUGGCUCACAGCCUUGCUGUCCGUGCUGGCCAGGCUCCCUGAGGAGGUCCCUAGCUUCCAGCCACGACUGUUUGAGUGCUCCAGCCACAUGGGCUGCCUGGUCCUCGCAGAAGUGGUGUUCUUCAGCCAGGAGGACCUGGACAAGUAUGACAUCAUGUUACUGGACACCUGGCAGGAGAUCUUCCUGUGGCUUGGGGAAGCUGCGAGUGAGUGGAAGGAGGCGGUGGCCUGGGGCCAGGAGUACCUGAAGACCCACCCAGCAGGGAGGAGCCCGGCCACACCCAUCGUGCUGGUCAAGCAGGGCCACGAGCCUCCCACCUUCACUGGAUGGUUCUUCACUUGGGACCCCUACAAGUGGACUAGCCACCCGUCCCACAAGGAAGUGGUGGAUGGCAGCCCGGCAGCAGCAUCAACCAUCUCUGAGAUAACAGCAGUGAGUCCUGGGGGCCCUAGCCUUCCCCACAGUGGCCUGGGCUCCGACGGCAUGGUCCCGAUGGGCAGGGGAAAUGCCAGGCCCUGGUAGGUGGGAGGGGCUAAAGUUGGAGCCAAGAGGCCUGUGGGUUCAGUGCAGCCUCCCUGUGGGCUACUGAUUCCCCAUCUUCCCCAGCCUGAGGCUCCUCUCUGGACAGGAAGUCAACAACUUCCGGCUAUCCAGAUGGCCGGGCAAUGGCAGGGCAGGUGCCGUGGCCCUGCAGGCCCUCAAGGGCUCCCAGGACGGCUCAGAGAAUGAGCUGGUGCGAAGCCCCAAGUCGGGUGGCAGCAGAACCAGCAGCUCCGUCAGCAGCACCAGCGCCACGAUCAACGGGGGCCUGCGCCGGGAACAACUGAUGCACCAGGCCGUUGAGGACCUGCCAGAGGGCGUGGACCCUGCCCGCAGGGAGUUCUAUCUCUCAGACUCUGACUUCCAAGACAUCUUUGGGAAAUCCAAGGAGGAAUUCUACAGCAUGGCCACGUGGAGGCAGCGGCAGGAGAAAAAGCAGCUGGGCUUCUUCUGAACCCAAGCCCUCUCGACUGCCCCAUCCCCUCGACCCCAACAUACCUACAAUGCUGGGGAGGCCCUGCUUCCACUCCCCUCAGAGGCUUCUGGUCAUCCUCUGCUUGUCAGUAAAAGCAGGCAGCCCAU